GAUGGUGCAACUCUCCUGCGUGCAGGAUUUUUUUUAGGAAUUUGAAUUCCGCCUUCCCUGUAGAAUACAUCCAUUCCAGAAUAGUCCUACAAUUCGUAUUGUGCAACUUCUGCAGAAGGGUCUAAAGAAAGAAAACAUGCUGAAUGGCUUGUGCGUAGUUAAUUGUCACUUUCUGCAGCGCAUACAUCGAAAUGUCAGUUUUCUUCGAAAUAGAUGGUUUAAGAGUGGUUUCUGCUUCUGAUGUAGACAGAUAUCUAGUUAAUACUCGCACGAAUCAUUCUGCAGUCGAAUAAGGCUGUGGGAAUAAUGUAUAUGGUGCUUAGCAGGUAAAUAAACGAGCGUUUGCAUACAAACAGCUAGAAAAUAGCAUUUGAACUUUCUCUGCAACAGAAGAUUGGGUAGCUCACCACUUCGUUCAACAUGACAGUGUCGUGGUGGCUAGUUAAAGGCAGUUGGAGAGCUCUACCAAGGCUUUCCAUCCCAUUUUUGUUUUUCACCAGUGGUGAUAUGGUAUGGUCGGGAGCAUAGGAGUGCAUGUAAACAUUGUGACGGGUUAUGCAUUGUCUUGCAAUUUGCGAUGCACUGCUGCACUACGAUUGUGAUGCAACAAUCAAGAAAGGACAGAAGUCCUAGCUGUACUUGCCGGCUCCAUUGGCGUACGCUGCAGUAGCCCCUGGAGGAUUUUCACCAACAGUAAUGUAAGUUGUAAGUUGUAUGCUGUCACUGCACUAAUUGCACACGCUAGGCACGCCCACUGUUUAGAGCCUGAGCCCAGCCUUGUUGGACCUAGAGAUUGUCUUGGCUCGUUCUGGGCUCUAACUGCUGCUGCUGAUACAGCGUGCAGUCGUCUAAUGUGUGCUCUCUCUGCAGCAGAUAUUUAACAGUGUGCACCUGUGCAGCAGGGAUGGGUGACAGCGUGGCAGCCAGCGACUUGUUACUGUGCUGGACACCAGUUUUCCUUCCUUGGAACGGCAUCGUUACUUCUCUGUCCAUCACCUUGGACCUGCCAUAGUAUCUGCAGCUGGAAGUGUUUGGGUUUUUGCUAUUUCCCUAUUCGGACCUUCUCUACAUCAUCUGUUAUUCAUAACGGUAAUGUACUUUUUUCCAGCGCCAGCUUUAAACUACAUAAGGCAGUCCUUUAAUAUCUAGCUGAAACCUCAAGGCAGUCCUGCUACUAGAAGAGAUGGAAAUAAUAAAAGUAGCAACAACACACUGAACUUAAUUAUGAAAAAGCUACUUGAAGAGAGCCUUUUGUAUCACCCACGUCACAAUGUUAAUAAAAAUCUAGGCUGCUGCUUGGCAAAAAGCCAGCAUAUGAAGAGCGAUAACAGAACAGGCUGCCUCCAUUAGGCUGAAACUUAUUUCUUCCUACAACCAAUACUGUACUGAUAUUUUUUCUGUGCUGUGUGACCCUUAUGGGCACACAUUUUCUUUAUCUGUGCAAAAUUUAGCUGCAGGCCAUCUGAGCUUUACAAUCCUAACAGUUCAGAAACCAAUCAUCUCUCUGACUUAACCAAAAACUGAGGAUGUCAAAGCUGCAAAUAAGUUGUUGCCACUGAGUCUACCUGUUAGAUCUUAUAUAGUAUCACCUUUUAUAGGUUACAUAAGAUGCAGAAAUGUAAAGAAGUAGUAGAACUACAUGGCUUGAAGGACCAAUGAGACAAUUUUUAAACAUUUGGGAGUAAAAAUAAUCAACCACGUUUGGAGAAUUCACAGAUGAAAGCUGACUUUUGCAAAAUUCCAAAUGAAGCCAAGGUUCAGCAUAGAAUCAGACCCUUCUGUGUGGACCAGCAAGGAAUAUGAAAAUAUUCUCCAAAUGAACAUGACACAAGGGACAGAGCUGAAGCAGGUAGAAACAUCCCUCUCAUCUGUCAUUGCUCUGGUGGUGGUACUAACUAUAACAUUUACACUGGUAUUGACCUCCUUGGUGACAUAUCAAGUCCACAAGUGGAAACUGAAAAUAAAAAAGCUGAAGAAAGCCCAAGAGGAAUAUGAAAGAGAUAAUAAGAAGAUUAAACACCAGAAUAAGACAACAUCUCCUUAGAAACUUUCUUGGACCUGAGUAAAGAAGAUGCAUUUUUAUAAAGGAAAACAUAUACUGAAACAAAAUAAAUCAAAGCAUUAUAUCUAUAUCAUAUAAUCAAUUGGUAUCCUUUUAAUCUGAUAUCAAACUAUCUGAUAUCAAACUAAUAUUAUUCAGAAACAAAUAAUGCCAAGCUAAAAUGUUAACCAGAGAAUUAACAUCCUUAAUUACAUUUAAAGCCCUAUAGUUUGAGACAACUGUAUGCAUAUAUAUAUAUAUAUAUAUAUAUAUAUAUAUAUAUAUAUAUAUAUGUAGAUAUUAGUCGCACUGUGUUUAUAUUAAACUUAAUUUACCAGUUUGUCAUUUAUUCUCUCUUAGAUUCUCAACAAGCAAAGAUUAUAAGCUUAAACAUGUAUGCUAUGUUUCCAAACCACAUUUUUAAAAAAUGUUAUGCCUGAGGAUAUAAAUAAAGUACACAAAAUACAAAUAUAUUAAGGAACAAAGGAAGGCCUGACAGAAAUGUAAUCAAUAUUUGCCCUGACAUUCACUGUAUAUACUUACAAUAUGUGUGAAGGGCAAAUAUUUGAUGGAAGGAUAUAUUUUAUUCUGCUAUGGGAGAAAUUGUAUUUUCUUAAACAUGAACAGUUCAGACAAUAAAUAUAAGUAUUGUUGAUACUGAACAAAGUUUUUGAUCAAUUAUGGUUGUUUUGCACAUUAAAUAAAUAGCUAUAGAAUAUGAA
Protopterus annectens (West African lungfish) is the source of this 2763-nucleotide long non-coding RNA. RefSeq lists it as uncharacterized. The record is from RefSeq and is a predicted model, not a curated record. NCBI's taxonomy places the organism in Eukaryota, Metazoa, Chordata, Ceratodontiformes, Protopteridae. The transcript has 2 exons.